GGGGAUGCACCGGCAUUCGACAGGGAUCUUUAAAAGUCAUGGGUUUGCGAUUACGGCGUCGCGCUGUCCGCCGUUAGAUCCGUCCAGCGCAAAACAACUGCUAACGCAGAAGAGAACGGGCUUGUUGCAGCUCUUCGUGGGCUUGUAGCAAACGACGAACCAGCUUUGGUUCCUGUCGCUGCCUAACUCAAUCUCUCCCCGCAUAGCGAGGGAGACGUCGCACAUUAUGAGUCCUCAUAGUAGUGCGCGGCGUAACUUAUGAGGAUCGGCAAGUGUUCUGCUCAAACAUGCGCCUAAACUCUAGAGCUAAGCCAUAGAGGCUUUCUGUUUGUCCUUUAUCUCUGCGGCCGACAAUUCAGGAUAAACUACAAUCGUAGAAGAUCCAUCACUUUAUCCUUGGACGGGGGUUCGACUCCCCCCAUCUCCACCA
Molecule: transfer-messenger RNA, 430 nt
Filed under: Patescibacteria group
Lineage: Bacteria
Also listed under: 1 other name
Description: 21-14-0-20-46-8 sp002796025 Standard tmRNA
Rfam family: transfer-messenger RNA
About the family: Bacterial tmRNA, also known as 10Sa RNA or SsrA, is named for its dual tRNA and mRNA-like properties. Its role is to liberate the mRNA from a stalled ribosome.
Source: RNAcentral